RNAcentral lists this ribosomal RNA (477 nucleotides) under uncultured bacterium. Its description in RNAcentral is "partial 16S ribosomal RNA". It matches the Rfam family "Bacterial small subunit ribosomal RNA", at positions 28 to 507 of the family's 1533-position model. The record is from RNAcentral.
GAUUAACGCUGGCGGCGUGCAUAACACAUGCAAGUCGAACGAUGAAACUUUAAUGAACCCUUCGGGGAGAAUUAAAGCGGAUUAGUGGCGAACGGGUGAGUAACGCGUGAGUAACCUGCCUUACACAAGGGGAUAGCCUUUGGAAACGAAGAAUAAUACCCUAUAAAACCAUAAAAGCACAUGCAAUUAUGGUCAAAGUGAUAGCGGUGUAAGAUGGACUUGCGUCUGAUUAGCUAGUUGGUGAGAUAAAAGCCCACCAAGGCAACGAUCAGUAGCCGGCUUGAGAGAGUGUACGGCCACAUUGGGACUGAGACACGGCCCAGACUCCUACGGGAGGCAGCAGUGGGGAAUUUUGCACAAUGGGGGAAGCCCUGAUGCAGCGACGCCGCGUGAUUGAGAAGGCCUUCGGGUUGUAAAAAUCUUUUGUAUAGGAAGAAAAUGACAGUACUAUACGAAUAAGGUCCGGCUAAUUACGUG